RNAcentral lists this ribosomal RNA (488 nucleotides) under marine sediment bacterium ISA-6329. RNAcentral describes it as "bacterial SSU rRNA". It matches the Rfam family "Bacterial small subunit ribosomal RNA", at positions 37 to 504 of the family's 1533-position model. RNAcentral also lists the same sequence under 1 other name. The record is from RNAcentral.
UGGCGGCAGGCCUAACACAUGCAAGUCGAGCGGAAACGAGUUAUCUGAACCUUCGGGGAACGAUAACGGCGUCGAGCGGCGGACGGGUGAGUAAUGCCUAGGAAAUUGCCCUGAUGUGGGGGAUAACCAUUGGAAACGAUGGCUAAUACCGCAUGAUGCCUACGGGCCAAAGAGGGGGACCUUCGGGCCUCUCGCGUCAGGAUAUGCCUAGGUGGGAUUAGCUAGUUGGUGAGGUAAGGGCUCACCAAGGCGACGAUCCCUAGCUGGUCUGAGAGGAUGAUCAGCCACACUGGAACUGAGACACGGUCCAGACUCCUACGGGAGGCAGCAGUGGGGAAUAUUGCACAAUGGGCGCAAGCCUGAUGCAGCCAUGCCGCGUGUGUGAAGAAGGCCUUCGGGUUGUAAAGCACUUUCAGUCGUGAGGAAGGUAGUGUAGUUAAUAGCUGCAUUAUUUGACGUUAGCGACAGAAGAAGCACCGGCUAACUCC